Molecule: ribosomal RNA, 1359 nt
Filed under: Triticum aestivum (bread wheat)
Lineage: Eukaryota; Viridiplantae; Streptophyta; Magnoliopsida; Poales; Poaceae
Description: partial small subunit ribosomal RNA
Source: RNAcentral
AUGAGGGGCUUCCCGCUGGCCGUCCUACUGCUGGCGCUGCUGCUCGCCGCCGGGGAACUGCAUUGCGCAGCAACAGCACCAGCGCCACCAGCAAAGGCAUCCGCGCCACCGCCCACACCACCACAGCACGCACCACCAUCGCCUCCGCGGCGACACCGGCCAUCGCACGGACGAGCCCCACCGGUUCCCCGGAAGCAGGACCCUCCAUCAUCACCACCGCCACCACCGCCGAAGCAGGACCCUCCAUCUCAGUCGCCGCCGCAGCAGCAGCAGGACCCUCCGUCACCGCCGCCACAGCAGAUCAUGCCGCCAAUACAGCUCGUGCCACCAAUUCAGGACCCCGACGUGGGAGCACCCAUGCCACCCAGGGGCGGCAACCGCUCCGCGGUCUGCACCACGCUCCUCGUGUUCGGGGACUCAACGGUGGACCCUGGCAACAACAACCGCCUGCGCACCACGGCCAAGGCCAACUUCCCGCCCUACGGCGUCAACUUCUACGGCCGCAGGCCCACCGGCCGCUUCUCCAACGGCCGGCUGGCCACCGAUAUGCUGGCGGACAAGCUCGGUAUAAUGAGGACCAUCCCGGGCUUCCUUGACCCGACGCUCAAGCUGGGGCAGCUCCGGAAGGGGGUGAGCUUCGCGUCGGCGGGCUCUGGAUACGACGAUAGCACUGCCACCACAUUAAGCGCGUUGCCAUUCCGGAGACAAUUGUGGCACUUCUGGCGCUACAAGCUACUGAUCCGAGCACUGCUUGGAACAAGAAGAGCAGAACGGAUUGUCAACAGGGCUACCUUCAUCAUAAGCGCUGGCACAAAUGACAUGCUCCUAAACUACAUCGCGUCGAACCGAUCAGCUGGCCCUAUCGCCAUGCUGCGGUACGAGAACCACCUGAUAGCACGCCUUGGCAAUUAUACCCAGGUGAUGAGGAUGCUUGGAGCGAGAAGGUUCAUGUUCGUCGGGCUACCCCCGAUCGGCUGUCUGCCAAUCGCGAGAACAUUGCUUGGAAGGGAUCCAGAUGGAUGCGACAGCGAUCUAAACCAGUUGGCAGCCUCCUUCAACUCGAGGCUGAUUCAGCUGUCGAAUUUCGUCAACUACCAGCCCCGAAUGAGGAGCGCCUACAUAGACACCUACACAAUCAUACGGGCAGCAACAGACAACCCUCAGAACUACGGGCUGACGGAGGUGUCGAGAGGGUGCUGCGGAUCAGGGAUGAUCGAGGUCGGCCAGACAUGCAGAGGGCGAAGGACAUGCCCAGACCCGAGCAAGUACUUGUACUGGGAUGCUGUCCAUCCGACAGAGACAACGAACCAGCUUAUCACAAGCCUGAUGCUGGACUCCAUUGCCGGAAUCUACAGCUAG